Molecule: ribosomal RNA, 374 nt
Filed under: uncultured organism
Description: bacterial SSU rRNA
Rfam family: Bacterial small subunit ribosomal RNA
Source: RNAcentral
CGGGGGGAGCGAGCGUUGUUCGGAUUUACUGGGCGUAAAGGGCGUGUAGGCGGCCACCGCAAGUCAGUUGUGAAAGCUCUGGGCUUAACCCAGAAAGGUCAACUGAUACUGCGGGGCUAGAGUGCAGAAGGGGCAACUGGAAUUCUCGGUGUAGCGGUGAAAUGCGUAGAUAUCGAGAGGAACACCUGCAGCGAAGGCGGGUUGCUGGGCUGACACUGACGCUGAAACGCGAAAGCUAGGGGAGCGAACGGGAUUAGAUACCCCGGUAGUCCUAGCCUUAAACGAUGAAUGCUUGGUGUCUGGGGUUUUAUAGUCCCCGGGUGCCGUCGCUAACGCUUUAAGCAUUCCGCCUGGGGAGUACGGUCGCAAGACUG